GAAUAUACGCUGGGGAGCUGGAUGAAUCCGGCUGAGAGGGGACUGUUAUUGUACCGACCCACAUAACCUGAACUAGGUAAUACUAGCGAAGGGAGCAGUUUGACUUAAGUG
Molecule: non-coding RNA, 111 nt
Filed under: Caldisalinibacter kiritimatiensis
Lineage: Bacteria; Bacillati; Bacillota; Tissierellia; Tissierellales; Thermohalobacteraceae
Description: TPP sequence
Rfam family: TPP riboswitch aptamer (THI element)
About the family: Vitamin B(1) in its active form thiamin pyrophosphate (TPP) is an essential coenzyme that is synthesised by coupling of pyrimidine and thiazole moieties in bacteria. The previously detected thiamin-regulatory element, thi box was extended, resulting in a new, highly conserved RNA secondary structure, the THI element, which is widely distributed in eubacteria and also occurs in some archaea. Analysis of operon structures identified a large number of new candidate thiamin-regulated genes, mostly transporters, in various prokaryotic organisms.
Source: Rfam by way of RNAcentral